This 73-nucleotide transfer RNA is filed under the name Diaphorina citri (Asian citrus psyllid). It matches the Rfam family "tRNA". Rfam says of the family: Transfer RNA (tRNA) molecules are approximately 80 nucleotides in length. Lineage: Eukaryota; Metazoa; Arthropoda; Insecta; Hemiptera; Psyllidae. The record is from Rfam by way of RNAcentral.
GCCUAGAUAGCUUAGUUGGUAGUGCGUCUGCCUUGUAAGCGCUAGGCCGCGGGUUUGAUUCCCGCCCGGGGCG